CCAUGUUUACCCGGAAACCUGAGCUUCUCUCCACGGCUGCUGGAGAAAUAUUGAAUUGAUCACAAAUUCGUCCCGUUUUAUAACGUACGUUGUUCGUAACUGAACGUUUAUCGUUAUGUACAGCGGUCUCCUGCCCAAGGGUUUAACAGAAGACGACCUCAGUCCGGAUGACCAGGAAGAGGAGCGUGAGCGUGAACUCGGGGAAGAAUACGAAGAAAACCCCGUCUUCAAGACUCCUACGGUUAUCGAUGCUCCAAAUGAACCCCCGACAUGCAACCUGCCUGGCAUAUCCCAGGAGACGUGGCAAAAAUUUAAUGAGCUGCGUAAGAAGAAAGACGAGACGAAGAUGACGAAAAUCCCGAGGAAAAAAAGAAGAAAAAGCCGACAAUGCAAGAAAGAAGGUGAAAAGCCAACAGAGACGAGAGUGCGUCAGGAGGAGUUGGAGAAGCACUGGAAUGGGCUUAAGCAAUAUUUUGGUGUAAAUGAUCGAUUUCAUCCCCCUGCAUGUUCCAGCCCCCCUCCCAAGUCCGGCCUAGAAAAGAGCAUAGAGAAGGCCAUAGCUGAAGGGGACACUGCAAAGGCGGAGGAGAUGAGCGACAGACUCGCCACUCGAGAGAAAGAGGAACCGUCACCUGCUCGGCGCCACAGUGCUGACAGUGCCAGUGAUCCAUGAAAUAAGCUGCCGCUGGCUUUGUUCAGAUAAGAAUGAACAAAUCUGCACAAUGUACUGCUCUCGGAAUCUCAUUUUCAUACUUGCAUGCAGGCUGAAGGAAAUAAGCUGUUUGCAGGCUUGAUUAAUCAGACAUUUGAGGUUUUUUUUUUGUCUCUUUGAUCUGUUCUGUCUCCAAGGUAACUUGGUUGACAUUAAUGUUGAGCCUCAGCUAAGAUAAUCACGAAACUAAACUGAUUAAAGAAGGCAAAAUUAUGAGCCUUUGUUACUUCUUAUUUUAUAUUUUUUUAUGAAGUACAUUGUACGUUUGAAUUAACAAACAUGGGAAUAAUGGUUAUGAGCGUGUUCUUUUAAUUUUGGCUUUGCAAUGUUUGGGCAGCUUUCAAAUGGCUCAGCGGGAGAGCAGGUGAUUGUGCAUAAUCCCUAAGUGGGGGAAAAAAGGUAACUUUGUGAACCCAUUUAGUGUCAUGCUGUAGCGUUUGAUUGUUCCCCAACAAUGAGGCCUCAUAGCCACAGAGCUGCUGUUGGAUUUGUCAAUACUGUAAUUUAAUAAACGUGUGUGUAUAAUCUUCCUGCCGCAUCGCAACUACUCUGAAGCAUCGGCACCGGCCCAACAAAGAGCAGGGAAAAGCCCUGGUGUGCGCUCAUCUGCUUGCAAAUCUACUGCAAAUGCAGACUUCGUUGCCCGUUGUAAGGCUCUGCAAGAGGAGAAAACAUUAUUUGGAGAGUUUUAAAAGCUAGAAAAUGGCAAAGGACUGUCAUCAUAUGUACGCUCCAGGUUAUACAGACGUUUUCACAAAUCUUGUAGUGGCUGUAAAGAUGAAUGCCUUGAGGGCCCUGCCACAGCCCGCCACUUGCAGCCAGCCAGAGCCCUUAUCUUAAAUCCAAGCAAAGUACCAUUAAUCUUUUUGAAAGACCUUUAUGGCUUUUAAUGUAUCCCAAAUUAGAACAUUUUACACCCUUGGUUCCUGAAAUAUAGUGAUAAAAAGCCUUUAGUUUAAUUUUUCCUGCCUGCUCGCUCUGACCUGCUUAAUCCCAGCAUGCAUUAGGAGAUAUUUUAGUUUCAGUCUUUCUAAUAAAGUUUAUCCCACUUAAUUAUAAUUGAAACUUUUUUUUUUUCCUACCAGUUUUUUUUUUCUUCCAAGUGGCGCAGUGGUGGCACAUUUCUUCAUUACCUCAAGACUUUCUUCCCCUUUGAUUGUGCUGUGAAUAUUACAGAGAAUUACCCCAACGUUUGGUGAAAUUGUUCCAAGUUGUUUAUUGUAGUUUGCCUCUGCUUGAAUAAUAUACCUAUCUCACGAGUGACAGAGGAGGCAGGAUUUUCCCUUUGUUUCCUGUGCUUCUGUGUGACUGGGGUUAUUGGGAUUAUUCUGCUUCACAAUACACAGGUGUCUUCCCUGGGAUUUGAAUGUUUGCCUCUUGCUGUCACGGUCCUUCUCUUCACUCCUGUUUUCAGGGACUGCCUCCAGUAUUCCAAACAGAAAUGCUUUUGAUGAUUGAGAAGUGCAUUUGGCGUUUUUCAUCAUGUUUUAAUGUUACAUUUUUUUUUUUUUUUUUUACAACAAAUAGAGACUAUAAACCAUAUAUGUGUCUUUCUGACUCAUGAAGGAGUUGUCUUGUUAAAAAGAAAGCCGGUGGUAGGUAAUUGCAGAGUCAAUUGCACUGAAUAUUACCAAAGAAAUUUUCAACAUGUUGGAAACUUUUCAGUCGAGUUAUAUGCAUCCAAGCUGCAAAUAUUUUGCAGAGGUCACCUGCCUCACCUUCACCAACUCGACAUGAGAAAAACCUUGAGGGGGAUGGAGGCGGUGCAUCGUUACUCAUCGAGAUGUCAAUUUAUUAAAGAUUGUGUUCUUGACAAAAGAGGCAUUUUUUUUUUUUUUUUUAGAGAGGGGGGGGGGGGAAGUAAAAAUAAAGAAGUGAGAUAAUGUGGGUUCACAAGUUUGCACACCCUCUUAUACAGAAACUGGGGAUAUGACUGUGUUCAGAAUUAACCAAUCACAUUCAAACGUGUUCACAACGCUCACACUUUAUCUCAAAGUUUAGCUCUUCUAGUAGCCUUUCCUGGACAUAUUAUUUAGUUUUAAGCAUAAGCCUGAAGGUUUUGUCCUCACACUAUCUGCUCUUUGGAACUGUUUAUAUUUCCCCUCCACCUUGACUAAGGCCCAAGUUCCAGCUAAAGAAAAACAGCCCUGCGAAGCAUGACACUGCCACCAUCAUGUUUCACUGUUGUUUUGAUGACGAGCAGUGUUUACCUUUUGGAAUUAUGGCUAAAACGUUCGACCUUGGUUUUAUAGGACCAUAACACAUUUUCCCACAUUUUUGGGAUAGAUUAAGGGUUUUUGUAAGAUAAGGCUUCCGUCUUGCCACGCUACUCCAUAGCCUAGACAAAUGGGGAGAUUGUUGUCAUAUGAGCUAAACAGCCAGGACUUUCCAGGAAUUUCUGAAACUCCUUCAGUGCAGCUGUCAGCUUCUUGGCAGCUUCCUGUACCAGUUUUCUUCUUGUCCUUUCAUCCAUUUUGGUGGGACCUCCAGUCUUUGGUAAAGUCACUGUUGUGCCAUAUUUUUUCCACUUGAUAAUGACUGCCUUCACAAUGUUCUGGACUAUGGACUAUUGGAAAUUCUUUUGUACCUCCUGACUGAUCUUUGAACAAUGGGAUCCCUCUGAUGCUGUGGAUGCUCUCUGUGGAUCAUGGCUUGUGCUAUAAAAUGUGACUACAAAAAUGUCAAGCCUACUAGAACAACUAAACUUUAUUUGGUGUUAAACAGAGACACUUUAAAUGGUGGCAGGCAUGUGCUUACUCUCAUUUAACAUGAGUCUGAAUGUGAUUGGUCAAUUCUGAACACAGUCAGAUUCCCAGUUAUAAGAAGCUGUGUGAACAUGCGCAACCACAUUCUCAGUCUGUUGUUUUUAACACCCCUCUCUACAUGCAGACUCCUCACAGAAACGCUCAAGCCGACAUUCGAACCCAGAAACCAGACUCGUGAGACACAUGCGUUGCUGUGCUACCGUCUCUGGCUGUGAAAAUCGCCGAAGCCACUGAUUGCCGUGACUUUGUGCAGCGCAAACAGGAAGAGGACGCUUUGAGGGCAGCAAAGAAAAGGAAGAAGCAAAUAGCUUGGGGGUACGA
This is an RNA transcript of Phyllopteryx taeniolatus (common seadragon), 3798 nucleotides long. It is a transcript of the gene named family with sequence similarity 204 member A, with no coding region annotated. The record is from RefSeq and is a predicted model, not a curated record. The transcript is spliced from 7 exons. NCBI's taxonomy places the organism in Eukaryota, Metazoa, Chordata, Actinopteri, Syngnathiformes, Syngnathidae.